This 496-nucleotide ribosomal RNA is filed under the name Arthrobacter oryzae. RNAcentral describes it as "bacterial SSU rRNA". It matches the Rfam family "Bacterial small subunit ribosomal RNA", at positions 158 to 658 of the family's 1533-position model. Lineage: Bacteria; Bacillati; Actinomycetota; Actinomycetes; Micrococcales; Micrococcaceae. The record is from RNAcentral.
UGGGUCUAAUACCGGAUAUGACUCCUCAUCGCAUGGUGGGGGGUGGAAAGCUUUUUGAGUGGUUUUGGAUGGACUCGCGGCCUAUCAGCUUGUUGGUGAGGUAAUGGCUCACCAAGGCGACGACGGGUAGCCGGCCUGAGAGGGUGACCGGCCACACUGGGACUGAGACACGGCCCACACUCCUACGGGAGGCAGCAGUGAGGAAUAUUGCACAAUGGGCGCAAGCCUGAUGCAGCGACGCCACGUGAGGAAGGAUGACGGCCUUCGGGUUGUAAACCUCUUUCAGUAGGGAAGAAGCGAAAGUGAACGGUACCUGCAGAAGAAGCGCCGGCUAACUACGUGCCAGCAGCCGCGGUAAUACGUAGGGCGCAAGCGUUAUCCGGAAUUCAUUGGGCGUAAAGAGCUCGUAGGCGGUUUGUCGCGUCUGCCGUGAAAGUCCGGCGGCUCAACUCCGAGAUCUGCGGUGGGUACGGGCAGACUAGAGUGAUGUAGGGGA